GGCUGGACACCUCCUU
Molecule: ribosomal RNA, 16 nt
Filed under: Lacticaseibacillus rhamnosus
Lineage: Bacteria; Bacillati; Bacillota; Bacilli; Lactobacillales; Lactobacillaceae
Description: Lactobacillus rhamnosus partial 16S ribosomal RNA
Source: RNAcentral